UACGGAGGGUGCAAGCGUUAUCCGGAAUGAUUGGGCGUAAAGCGUCUGUAGGUGGCUUUUUAAGUCCGCCGUCAAAUCCCAGGGCUCAACCCUGGACAGGCGGUGGAAACUACCAAGCUAGAGUACGGUAGGGACAGAGGGAAUUUCCGGUGGAGCGGUGAAAUGCGUAGAGAUCGGAAAGAACACCAAAGGCGAAGGCACUCUGCUGGGAC
Molecule: ribosomal RNA, 212 nt
Filed under: uncultured bacterium
Lineage: Bacteria
Description: partial 16S ribosomal RNA
Rfam family: Bacterial small subunit ribosomal RNA
Source: RNAcentral